This 202-nucleotide long non-coding RNA is filed under the name Sorghum bicolor (sorghum). RNAcentral's name for it is "long non-coding RNA (SBIC_LNC016309)". Lineage: Eukaryota; Viridiplantae; Streptophyta; Magnoliopsida; Poales; Poaceae. The record is from RNAcentral.
GCUUCUCUGACCGUGGCUUUUGUGUAGUUUCAUACGUUGUCUACAGAAAACAAAAAUGUUUAGAAACGUGAAAGAGACUUCUUACUAUGGAUAUACUACUUAAGAAAUUGCACAAGAGUAUACUUGUAUAAUAAAAACAGUUUACUCACACUGAAUCUCAAGUCCAUAUAAUGCUUUGAAACCAUCACAUUAGCACUUGUCA